UGAGAGUUUGAUCCUGGCUCANNCGUGCCUAAUACAUGCAAGUUGAGCGCUGAAGGUUGGUACUUGUACCAACUGGAUGAGCAGCGAACGGGUGAGUAACGCGUGGGGAAUCUGCCUUUGAGCGGGGGACAACAUUUGGAAACGAAUGCUAAUACCGCAUAAAAACUUUAAACACAAGUUUUAAGUUUGAAAGAUGCAAUUGCAUCACUCAAAGAUGAUCCCGCGUUGUAUUAGCUAGUUGGUGAGGUA
This 249-nucleotide ribosomal RNA is filed under the name Bacillus cereus. RNAcentral describes it as "partial 16S ribosomal RNA". It matches the Rfam family "Bacterial small subunit ribosomal RNA", at positions 1 to 259 of the family's 1533-position model. Lineage: Bacteria; Bacillati; Bacillota; Bacilli; Caryophanales; Bacillaceae. The record is from RNAcentral.